CGUGCUUAACACAUGCAAGUCGAACGGAAAGGCCUCUUGCUUGCAAGGGGUACUCGAGUGGCGAACGGGUGAGUAACACGUGGGUGAUCUGCCUUGCACUCUGGGAUAAGCUUGGGAAACUGGGUCUAAUACCGGAUAUGAACUGCCUUUAGUGUGGUGGUUGGAAAGUUUUUUCGGUGCAAGAUGAGCUCGCGGCCUAUCAGCUUGUUGGUGGGGUAAUGGCCUACCAAGGCGUCGACGGGUAGCCGGCCUGAGAGGGUGUACGGCCACAUUGGGACUGAGAUACGGCCCAGACUCCUACGGGAGGCAGCAGUGGGGAAUAUUGCACAAUGGGCGGAAGCCUGAUGCAGCGACGCCGCGUGGGGGAUGACGGCCUUCGGGUUGUAAACUCCUUUCGACAGGGACGAAGCUUUUUGUGACGGUACCUGUAUAAGAAGCACCGGCUAACUACGUGCCAGCAGCCGCGGUAAUACGUAGGGUGCGAGCGUUGUCCGGAAUUACUGGGCGUAAAGAGCUCGUAGGUGGUUUGUCGCGUCGUCUGUGAAAUUCCGGGGCUUAACUUCGGGCGUGCAGGCGAUACGGGCAUAACUUGAGUGCUGUAGGGGAGACUGGAAUUCCUGGUGUAGCGGUGAAAUGCGCAGAUAUCAGGAGGAACACCGAUGGCGAAGGCAGGUCUCUGGGCAGUUACUGACGCUGAGGAGCGAAAGCAUGGGUAGCAAACAGGAUUAGAUACCCU
Molecule: ribosomal RNA, 736 nt
Filed under: Corynebacterium aurimucosum
Lineage: Bacteria; Bacillati; Actinomycetota; Actinomycetes; Mycobacteriales; Corynebacteriaceae
Description: bacterial SSU rRNA
Rfam family: Bacterial small subunit ribosomal RNA
Source: RNAcentral